RNAcentral lists this ribosomal RNA (467 nucleotides) under uncultured bacterium. Its description in RNAcentral is "bacterial SSU rRNA". It matches the Rfam family "Bacterial small subunit ribosomal RNA", at positions 334 to 793 of the family's 1533-position model. The record is from RNAcentral.
GACUCCUACGGGAGGCAGCAGUGGGGAAUAUUGCACAAUGGGGGAAACCCUGAUGCAGCCAUGCCGCGUGUGUGAAGAAGGCCUUCGGGUUGUAAAGCACUUUCAGUAGGGAGGAAGGUAGUGUAGUUAACACCUGCAUUAUUUGACGUUACCUACAGAAGAAGCACCGGCUAACUCCGUGCCAGCAGCCGCGGUAAUACGGAGGGUGCGAGCGUUAAUCGGAAUUACUGGGCGUAAAGCGCAUGCAGGCGGCCUGUUAAGUCAGAUGUGAAAGCCCCGGGGCUUAACCUCGGAAUUGCAUUUGAAACUGGCAGGCUAGAGUCUUGUAGAGGGGGUAGAAUUUCAGGUGUAGCGGUGAAAUGCGUAGAGAUCUGAAGGAAUACCAGUGGCGAAGGCGGCCCCCUGGACAAAGACUGACGCUCAGAUGCGAAAGCGUGGGGAGCAAACAGGAUUAGAUACCCUGGUAG